Molecule: ribosomal RNA, 840 nt
Filed under: Escherichia coli
Lineage: Bacteria; Pseudomonadati; Pseudomonadota; Gammaproteobacteria; Enterobacterales; Enterobacteriaceae
Description: partial 23S ribosomal RNA
Rfam family: Bacterial large subunit ribosomal RNA
Source: RNAcentral
UGUUUCGGCAAGGGGGUCAUCCCGACUUACCAACCCGAUGCAAACUGCGAAUACCGGAGAAUGUUAUCACGGGAGACACACGGCGGGUGCUAACGUCCGUCGUGAAGAGGGAAACAACCCAGACCGCCAGCUAAGGUCCCAAAGUCAUGGUUAAGUGGGAAACGAUGUGGGAAGGCCCAGACAGCCAGGAUGUUGGCUUAGAAGCAGCCAUCAUUUAAAGAAAGCGUAAUAGCUCACUGGUCGAGUCGGCCUGCGCGGAAGAUGUAACGGGGCUAAACCAUGCACCGAAGCUGCGGCAGCGACACUAUGUGUUGUUGGGUAGGGGAGCGUUCUGUAAGCCUGUGAAGGUGUACUGUGAGGUAUGCUGGAGGUAUCAGAAGUGCGAAUGCUGACAUAAGUAACGAUAAAGCGGGUGAAAAGCCCGCUCGCCGGAAGACCAAGGGUUCCUGUCCAACGUUAAUCGGGGCAGGGUGAGUCGACCCCUAAGGCGAGGCCGAAAGGCGUAGUCGAUGGGAAACAGGUUAAUAUUCCUGUACUUGGUGUUACUGCGAAGGGGGGACGGAGAAGGCUAUGUUGGCCGGGCGACGGUUGUCCCGGUUUAAGCGUGUAGGCUGGUUUUCCAGGCAAAUCCGGAAAAUCAAGGCUGAGGCGUGAUGACGAGGCACUACGGUGCUGAAGCAACAAAUGCCCUGCUUCCAGGAAAAGCCUCUAAGCAUCAGGUAACAUCAAAUCGUACCCCAAACCGACACAGGUGGUCAGGUAGAGAAUACCAAGGCGCUUGAGAGAACUCGGGUGAAGGAACUAGGCAAAAUGGUGCCGUAACUUCGGGAGAAGGCACGC